CCUAGAAUCUGAUGAAUCCAUCAAUUCAUCUCUCUAUUUUCUGUGAAGAGGGGCACGGAGCAGGAUCUAAUUCG
This 74-nucleotide transfer RNA is filed under the name Dysosma aurantiocaulis. RNAcentral's name for it is "tRNA-Asp". Lineage: Eukaryota; Viridiplantae; Streptophyta; Magnoliopsida; Ranunculales; Berberidaceae. The record is from RNAcentral.